UAGGUUUUCGGACCUAGAGACCGGCGCACGGGUGCGUAACGCGUAUGCAAUCUACCUUUUACAGAGGGAUAGCCCAGAGAAAUUUGGAUUAAUACCUCAUAGUAUUAUGACUCGGCAUCGAGAUAUAAUUAAAGUCACAACGGUAAAAGAUGAGCAUGCGUCCCAUUAGCUAGUUGGUAAGGUAACGGCUUACCAAGGCAACGAUGGGUAGGGGUCCUGAGAGGGAGAUCCCCCACACUGGUACUGAGACACGGACCAGACUCCUACGGGAGGCAGCAGUGAGGAAUAUUGGACAAUGGGCGCAAGCCUGAACCAGCCAUGCCGCGUGCAGGAUGAAGCAUCUAUGGU
RNAcentral lists this ribosomal RNA (348 nucleotides) under uncultured bacterium. RNAcentral's name for it is "bacterial SSU rRNA". It matches the Rfam family "Bacterial small subunit ribosomal RNA", at positions 73 to 422 of the family's 1533-position model. The record is from RNAcentral.